This 377-nucleotide ribosomal RNA is filed under the name uncultured bacterium. Its description in RNAcentral is "partial 16S ribosomal RNA". It matches the Rfam family "Bacterial small subunit ribosomal RNA", at positions 338 to 712 of the family's 1533-position model. The record is from RNAcentral.
CCUACGGGUGGCAGCAGUGAGGAAUAUUGGUCAAUGGGCGCGAGCCUGAACCAGCCACGUCGCGUGAAGGAUGAAUGCCCUACGGGUUGUAAGCUUCUUUUAUAAAGGAAUAAAGUGAGGCACGUGUGCCUUUUUGUAUGUACUUUAUGAAUAAGGAUCGGCUAACUCUGUGCCAGUAGCUGCGGUAAUACGGAGGAUCCGAGCGUUUUCCGGUUUGAGUGGGUGUAAAGGGAGCGUAGGUGGAUGGUUAAUUUAGUUGGGGAAGUUUGCGGCGCAACCGUGAAAUUGCAGUUGAAACUGGCAGUCUUGAGUACAGUAGGGGUAGGCGGAAUUCGUGGUGUAGCGGUGAAAGGCUUAGAUAUCACGAAGAACUCCGA